AUACGGAGGGUGCAAGCGUUAAUCGGAAUUACUGGGCGUAAAGCGCGCGUAGGCGGUUUGCUCAGUCGGAUGUGAAAGCCCAGGGCUCAACCUUGGAACUGCAUACGAUACUGGCAAACUAGAGUGUGAGAGAGGAUAGUGGAAUUUCCGGUGUAGCGGUGAAAUGCGUAGAUAUCGGAAGGAACAUCAGUGGCGAAGGCGACUGUCUGGCUCAACACUGACGCUGAGGUGCGAAAGCGUGGGUAGCAAACAGGAUUAGAAACCCUUGUAGUCC
RNAcentral lists this ribosomal RNA (274 nucleotides) under uncultured bacterium. Its description in RNAcentral is "partial 16S ribosomal RNA". It matches the Rfam family "Bacterial small subunit ribosomal RNA", at positions 523 to 796 of the family's 1533-position model. The record is from RNAcentral.